Molecule: ribosomal RNA, 402 nt
Filed under: bacterium
Lineage: Bacteria
Description: partial 16S ribosomal RNA
Rfam family: Bacterial small subunit ribosomal RNA
Source: RNAcentral
UGGGGAAUUUUGCACAAUGGGGUAAACCCUGAUGCAGCUACGCCGCGUGAUUUAGAAGGCCUUCGGGUUGUAAAAAUCUUUUCUAUGGGAAGAAAAUGACAGUAUCAUAGGAAUAAGGACCGGCUAAUUACGUGCCAGCAGCCGCGGUAAUACGUAAGGUCCGAGCGUUGUCCGGAAUCAUUGGGAGUAAAGGGUACGUAGGCGGGUAAGCAAGUUAGAAGUGAAAUCCUAUAGCUCAACUAUAGUAAGCUUUUAAAACUGCUCAUCUUGAGGUAUGGAAGGGAAAGUGGAACUCCUAGUGUAGCGGUGAAAUGCGCAGAUAUUAGGAGGAAUACCGGUGGCGAAGGCGACUUUCUGGCCAUAACCUGACGCUGAGGUACGAAAGCGUGGGUAGCAAACAGG